GUGCUCAUUUCAGUAGCACAUUUACUAAAAUUGUAAUGAUACAGGGAAGAUUAGUAAGGCCCCUGUGCAAAGAUGACACACAAAUUUGUGAAGUGCUCCAAAUUUUU
Molecule: small nuclear RNA, 107 nt
Filed under: Castor canadensis (American beaver)
Lineage: Eukaryota; Metazoa; Chordata; Mammalia; Rodentia; Castoridae
Source: RNAcentral